GGGGCCUUAGCUCAGCUGGGAGAGCGCUACGCUGGCAGCGUAGAGGUCAUCGGUUCGAUCCCGAUAGGCUCCA
This 73-nucleotide transfer RNA is filed under the name Bradymonas sediminis. It matches the Rfam family "tRNA". Rfam says of the family: Transfer RNA (tRNA) molecules are approximately 80 nucleotides in length. Their secondary structure includes four short double-helical elements and three loops (D, anti-codon, and T loops). Further hydrogen bonds mediate the characteristic L-shaped molecular structure. tRNAs have two regions of fundamental functional importance: the anti-codon, which is responsible for specific mRNA codon recognition, and the 3' end, to which the tRNAs corresponding amino acid is attached (by aminoacyl-tRNA synthetases). tRNAs cope with the degeneracy of the genetic code in two manners: having more than one tRNA (with a specific anti-codon) for a particular amino acid; and 'wobble' base-pairing, i.e. permitting non-standard base-pairing at the 3rd anti-codon position. Lineage: Bacteria; Deltaproteobacteria; Bradymonadales; Bradymonadaceae. The record is from Rfam by way of RNAcentral.